AACCAUAGAAACCUGCGGAGUACCUGCGGAGGGAUCAUUACAGAGUUGCAAAACUCCCUAAACCAUUGUGAACGUUACCUAAACCGUUGCUUCGGCGGGCGGCCCGGGUCCUUCCCGGCGCCCCUCGGCCCUCGCGGGCGCCCGCCGGAGGUAAACCAAACUAUUGCAUUUGUAUGGCCUCUCUGAGUCUUCUGUACUGAAUAAGUCAAAACUUUUAACAAUGGAUCUCAGAUCGGAAGA
This 240-nucleotide unclassified non-coding RNA is filed under the name soil metagenome. Its description in RNAcentral is "partial contains 5.8S ribosomal RNA, internal transcribed spacer 2, and large subunit ribosomal RNA". The record is from RNAcentral.